GCCAUGAGGUGUUCUGCAGUCCAGGAGCCAGAAAUAGAAACACAGCAAAGUGCCUCUUUGGAUUUUUCCCCUGUGGCCAGGCAACAGUGACAAUGGAGGUCUCUGUGCAGGGACAGCAUUUAAAAAAAAUAUUUAUCUAUCCCAGCAGUUAUCACGGAAUUCCUGAACGUGAGCAAAGAGCUGCAGAGCCCUGUGCCGCUGGGAGGACACUGAGCAAGGCUGCUGGCUUUGUGACGAAGGGAGGCUGCUGGCAGCGAGCUGGGGACACAGCGACUCUGCAGCUUGCCGGGGUGCCAGCAGCACUGCAGGGCUGGUUCCAGCUGUGUUUUACUCUGCCCUGCGGUUGGGGAUCUGCUCACAUACGGUUUGUGAUUAAAGAACAAAUACUUCAGAUUGAAGAUUGACUUCAAACACCAGGAGAUAUGAUGGCAACUAAAAUGCAGUGAUUUAGCCCUGAACGUACUGGCUCAAGUCAUCUCUCACUUUGCUGAAGCAGUGAAUAAUUGCCUUGCCUUUUCCCUGAGAGGGUUCUGUGAAUAUACCUGCCUGGUGGUGAGGAAGGCCAGCAGAGGGUCAGCCAUGGAAAUAAAUAGGUCAUCUCACUUCAGGCGGAAUGUAGUCCUGAAGCAGAAGAGACAAGAGAAACCAUACAUAAGGAUCAGCUGGUUUACUGCUUUUAUAUGUACCAGAGAGGCCUGUAUGGAGACAAAUGGAAGAGGAAGGAAUCAAAUACUCAAGUACCUCCCUGCCUAAAGCCAGGUUGAUGGCCCUUCUCGGACAGUGCAAGAAGAGACAUCGGAGUCCAUGCAGAUAACCUCAGACCCAAAAUGCAACGAGAGAGGACUCCCAACAAAUUUACAAAAAGACCCCAAAAACAACGAGCCAACAGAGAAUUAAGAGAUCAAAGUGAUGUCUGGACAUGAGGAACAAAGUACAGAGCCUGCAGAGAUGCUAAGACCUUUUUUUUGCCCCUCGCCCUAGCCACGGAAGGACCCCGGCUAGAGGCAAGACCCUGGGAGGCAACCCUAAAAUUGUGACUCGGGGUUCCCCCGCACUGCUCUGGGGAAGACGGGAGCUCCAGCUCUGCUCCCCAGGGGACAAAGCUGCACUGUCCUCCUCCUGCGAGCCACUCCUGGGAGGCCAUGACGGCGAGACUGCAGCCCCGUUGAGCCUCCCAACCAAGAGCUGAUCUCUUUUAAUAAAGACACUAAAAAGGAGAAAAGAUCUCCUGCCCGGUUUUUUUCAUUAUAGAUAGAUAAUAAGACGAUUGUCUCUCAUAAUUAAAAGAUAACUAUUGUGUGAAUAUUAAGAAAAGCUUUAGUGGUGUACAGUUAUGUUAUUAUAGUUUAGAUGUCCUCUGUUCUCCGCACGGUUCCCUUUCCCCCGCCCCGUGUUGUGACCAUCAGACGGCCAGGGCUGUCUAGGACAGAAGCUGUGCCAUGUGCCCCUUGCAUGGGCAGCUGGGAAUGGAAAAGCUUGGCGCUUAGGGGGCAGCAUGGCAACACCUCACCUCCAACCAAGUCACAAGAAAGCAGUCUCCACCGAUAAAUGGCAAAGAAGAACUGACUGACAGACUUUGGGAGGGGCCAGGGCUGGCUGAUGCAACCCCCAGGGGUAUAAAACACUGAGCAUCCAUCUUGAAGAUGCACUGGCCAUGAGGUAUCUACAAUAGCAGUUCCCAGUGCUGCAGCUUCUUCCUUCUGUAGUCCUUUGUUGUAUUUUUGUUAAGAUUUAAAAAACCUUUUUAAAUUUUUAAAGUGAGCAGUUGUUUCUCACAGGACACAUUAUUUUCUACUAAUAUAGUUCGAUUGUGAUGGAAAGAUUCAUUUUGAAAGAGAUGUCACUCAUGGACACUUCUCUCUAUAGUAAAUUGAGAAACAAACCUAGCUAGCAAAACACUCAUAUGUUUACAUGCACUCACAUUUGAGUACCAGAUUUUAGGAAGUGUGGUUAUUUUUUAUUCUGAUUCUGUCUUCUCAUAAUAAGUUUGAUUAAAAAAUAUAAUUGGUGUUGCCUUAAAAAUUAAUUUCUUAGAUGGAAAGUG
Molecule: long non-coding RNA, 2044 nt
Organism: Melospiza melodia melodia
Lineage: Eukaryota; Metazoa; Chordata; Aves; Passeriformes; Passerellidae
Exons: 4
Source: RefSeq, a predicted model, not a curated record